Molecule: long non-coding RNA, 351 nt
Organism: Mytilus californianus (California mussel)
Lineage: Eukaryota; Metazoa; Mollusca; Bivalvia; Mytilida; Mytilidae
Exons: 4
Source: RefSeq, a predicted model, not a curated record
GAAUACAGCUGUCAGAUAGAACGUCUGCUACAAUGAAGAUCGACAAUGUAACGCAUAAGCACAUUUAAAUGAUAUCUUCACAGAAGAAUUGAAUACCAUAUGGAAAGCUGACAUCAAGCAGCAAUUAGAACGACAAGACAAAACAUGAUGGACCACUAUUAAGUAAAUGAGUACAACAUAUAUUAAUAUGUGAAGAGACUUUUAGCACCAACCUGAACAACAAAACAAACAUGAAUUAUAUAUGUAGAUUUUGAAAUUUAACAAAGACCAAGAUGUGAAGAGACUUUAAGCACCAACCUGAACAACAAGACAAAAAUGAAUUAUAUAUGUAGAUUUUGAAAUUUAACAAAG